This 380-nucleotide long non-coding RNA is filed under the name Eucalyptus grandis. Its description in RNAcentral is "long non-coding RNA (EGRA_LNC000170)". Lineage: Eukaryota; Viridiplantae; Streptophyta; Magnoliopsida; Myrtales; Myrtaceae. The record is from RNAcentral.
CUUCCUUUAUUUAUACCACGUAUGAGUUCACAAGUCCAUUACAUCAUGAGCAAAAAGACAGAAAUCUAGGUAGGGGUAAAGAGCCAUAUCUGCAUACUAUAGUAUACUUUGAAAAGUUUGUUUAUACAAACAACCAGACUGAAGUCACGGGUUGAUAACUUCUCCUUCUGCUGCGUCUCUGUCAUUCAAAUCGAAGCCACUCAACUCACUAUCAAGGCUGCAGUACCAAGCAACCAACCAAAAAGGAACCCACUCAGCGAAACCUCAUUUAUCAACCCAUAUCAUACUACAUUUGGUAUAUAUAAUUCCAAACUCCGGUUCAAGCACACUUUCAUUUAUUAAAAAAAAAACCUUCAUUACAUGGUGAUUCCAUAAUGCAA